GUGGAAUGAUUAGAGAGCAUUUGGUGGCUUUCUACAAAUCCACUAAGCUUAAACCUCACAGGCUCAUAUUCUACAGGGAUGGGGUGAGUGAAGGACAAUUCAGUCAGGUCCUUCUUCAUGAAAUGGAGGCUAUAAGGAAGGCCUGCAACUCUAUUGAGGAAAAUUAUAUGCCAAGGGUCACUUUUAUCGUCGUGCAAAAGAGGCAUCACACACGUCUUUUUGCUGCUAAUCACAAUGAUAGGAAUAACACUGAUAGGAGCGGCAACAUUCUUCCUGGCACCGUUGUCGAUACAAAGAU
Molecule: long non-coding RNA, 298 nt
Organism: Salvia splendens (bonfire salvia)
Lineage: Eukaryota; Viridiplantae; Streptophyta; Magnoliopsida; Lamiales; Lamiaceae
Exons: 5
Source: RefSeq, a predicted model, not a curated record